This 486-nucleotide ribosomal RNA is filed under the name uncultured bacterium. RNAcentral's name for it is "partial 16S ribosomal RNA". It matches the Rfam family "Bacterial small subunit ribosomal RNA", at positions 28 to 507 of the family's 1533-position model. The record is from RNAcentral.
GACGAACGCUGGCGGCGUGCUUAACACAUGUAAGUCGAACGCUGAAGACCUGGCUUUUGUUGGGUUGGAUGAGUGGCGAACGGGUGAGUAACACGUGAGUAACCUGCCCUCUUCUUUGGGAUAACGCCCGGAAACGGGUGCUAAUACUGGAUAUUCACUGAUCUUCGCAUGGGGGUUGGUGGAAAGGUUUGUUCUGGUGGGGGAUGGGCUCGCGGCCUAUCAGCUUGUUGGUGGGGUGAUGGCCUACCAAGGCUUUGACGGGUAGCCGGCCUGAGAGGGUGACCGGUCACAUUGGGACUGAGAUACGGCCCAGACUCCUACGGGAGGCAGCAGUGGGGAAUAUUGCACAAUGGGCGAAAGCCUGAUGCAGCGACGCCGCGUGAGGGAUGGAGGCCUUCGGGUUGUAAACCUCUUUCGCUCAUGGUCAAGCCGCAACUGUGGGUUGUGGUGAGGGUAGUGGGUAAAGAAGCGCCGGCUAACUACGUG